UUUUGGUGGUUUUUAGCUUUUUAAUAAAUGAUUGGAGGGGGAAAUUAUUGUGUUUGGAUGCUUUAAUUUUUGGGGAGAGAGAAAAAGAGAGAGAGAGAGAGAGAAUCUUAUGAUGUUGUGCAUUGGUUGGAGUAAAAAUAAUGGAAUUAAUAAUAAUAAUAAUAAUAAUAAUAUGGAGAACAUGAGGGGUAUCAAAUUUAUUAAAUAUAAUAAUUAGCUUUAAUUACUAAACAGUGAUAAAAUUUAAUGAAUUUAUUUUUAGAUGUGAAAUUUUAUUGAAGUGCUUCAAUUUUUGAGGAGGAUAUAAAGGGGGAGAGAGAGAGAGAAACUCAUGAUUAUUAUACAUAUUAAUUAGAGAAAAAUAUUAGAAUAGUUAAUAUAUUGCGAGGGCUAUUAAAUUUAUUAAAUCUGAUCAAAUUUGAAUUAAAAUAAAUAUUU
This 438-nucleotide long non-coding RNA is filed under the name Ananas comosus (pineapple). Its description in RNAcentral is "long non-coding RNA (ACOM_LNC030024)". The record is from RNAcentral. Lineage: Eukaryota; Viridiplantae; Streptophyta; Magnoliopsida; Poales; Bromeliaceae.